GCCCGCGUGGCGGAACAGGUAGACGCUACGGACUUAAAAUCCGUUGGCCGCAAGGCCGUACCGGUUCGAUUCCGGUCGUGGGCACCA
This 87-nucleotide transfer RNA is filed under the name Magnetococcales bacterium. RNAcentral's name for it is "tRNA-Leu". It matches the Rfam family "tRNA". From Rfam's summary of the family: Transfer RNA (tRNA) molecules are approximately 80 nucleotides in length. Their secondary structure includes four short double-helical elements and three loops (D, anti-codon, and T loops). Lineage: Bacteria; Pseudomonadati; Pseudomonadota; Magnetococcia; Magnetococcales. The record is from RNAcentral.